This 254-nucleotide ribosomal RNA is filed under the name uncultured bacterium. Its description in RNAcentral is "partial 16S ribosomal RNA". It matches the Rfam family "Bacterial small subunit ribosomal RNA", at positions 524 to 776 of the family's 1533-position model. The record is from RNAcentral.
UACGAAGGGGGCUAGCGUUGUUCGGAAUUACUGGGCGUAAAGCGUAUGUAGGCGGAUCGUUAAGUCGGGGGUGAAAUCCCGAGGCUCAACCUCGGAACUGCCUUCGAUACUGGCGAUCUUCGAGUCCGGGAGAGGUGAGUGGAACUCCGAGUGUAGAGGUGAAAUUCGUAGAUAUUCGGAAGAACACCAGUGGCGAAGGCGGCUCACUGGCCCGGUACUGACGCUGAAGCACGAAGGCCAGGGGAGCAAACGGG